This 547-nucleotide ribosomal RNA is filed under the name Rhodococcus sp. (in: high G+C Gram-positive bacteria). RNAcentral describes it as "bacterial SSU rRNA". It matches the Rfam family "Bacterial small subunit ribosomal RNA", at positions 255 to 815 of the family's 1533-position model. Lineage: Bacteria; Bacillati; Actinomycetota; Actinomycetes; Mycobacteriales; Nocardiaceae. The record is from RNAcentral.
GGGUAAUGGCCUCCAAGGCGACGACGGGUAGCCGACCUGAGAGGGUGACCGGCCACACUGGGACUGAGACACGGCCCAGACUCCUACGGGAGGCAGCAGUGGGGAAUAUUGCACAAUGGGCGAAAGCCUGAUGCAGCGACGCCGCGUGAGGGAUGACGGCCUUCGGGUUGUAAACCUCUUUCAGCAGGGACGAAGCGAAAGUGACGGUACCUGCAGAAGAAGCACCGGCCAACUACGUGCCAGCAGCCGCGGUAAUACGUAGGGUGCGAGCGUUGUCCGGAAUUACUGGGCGUAAAGAGCUCGUAGGCGGUUUGUCACGUCGUCUGUGAAAACCAGCAGCUCAACUGCUGGCUUGCAGGCGAUACGGGCAGACUUGAGUACUGCAGGGGAGACUGGAAUUCCUGGUGUAGCGGUGAAAUGCGCAGAUAUCAGGAGGAACACCGGUGGCGAAGGCGGGUCUCUGGGCAGUAACUGACGCUGAGGAGCGAAAGCGUGGGUAGCGAACAGGAUUAGAUACCCUGGUAGUCCACGCCGUAAACGGUGGGUA